AUGCAAGUCGAGCGGAUGACGGGAGCUUGCUCCUUGAUUCAGCGGCGGACGGGUGAGUAAUGCCUAGGAAUCUGCCUGGUAGUGGGGGACAACGUUUCGAAAGGAACGCUAAUACCGCAUACGUCCUACGGGAGAAAGCAGGGGACCUUCGGGCCUUGCGCUAUCAGAUGAGCCUAGGUCGGAUUAGCUAGUUGGUGAGGUAAUGGCUCACCAAGGCGACGAUCCGUAACUGGUCUGAGAGGAUGAUCAGUCACACUGGAACUGAGACACGGUCCAGACUCCUACGGGAGGCAGCAGUGGGGAAUAUUGGACAAUGGGCGAAAGCCUGAUCCAGCCAUGCCGCGUGUGUGAAGAAGGUCUUCGGAUUGUAAAGCACUUUAAGUUGGGAGGAAGGGCAGUAAGUUAAUACCUUGCUGUUUUGACGUUACCGACAGAAUAAGCACCGGCUAACUCUGUGCCAGCAGCCGCGGUAAUACAGAGGGUGCAAGCGUUAAUCGGAAUUACUGGGCGUAAAGCGCGCGUAGGUGGUUCGUUAAGUUGGAUGUGAAAGCCCCGGGCUCAACCUGGGAACUGCAUCCAAAACUGGCGAGCUAGAGUACGGUAGAGGGUGGUGGAAUUUCCUGUGUAGCGGUGAAAUGCGUAG
This 643-nucleotide ribosomal RNA is filed under the name Pseudomonas taiwanensis. RNAcentral describes it as "bacterial SSU rRNA". It matches the Rfam family "Bacterial small subunit ribosomal RNA", at positions 55 to 693 of the family's 1533-position model. The record is from RNAcentral. Lineage: Bacteria; Pseudomonadati; Pseudomonadota; Gammaproteobacteria; Pseudomonadales; Pseudomonadaceae.